GAAAUGCGAUAAGUAAUGUGAAUUGCAGAAUUCAGUGAAUCAUCGAAUCUUUGAACGCACAUUGCGCCCGCCAGUAUUCUGGCGGGCAUGCCUGUUCGAGCAUCAUUUCAACCAUCAAGCCCCCGGGCUUGUGUUGGGGACCUGCGGCUGCCGCAGGCCCCGAAAACCAGUGGCGGGCUCGCUGUCACACCGGGCGUAGUAGAUUUUUCGUCUCGCCCAGGGCGUGCUGCGGGUUCCGGCCGUUAAAAAGCCUCUCUUUUAACCCAAGGUUGACCUCGGAUCAGGUAGGAAGACCCGCUGAACUUAAGC
RNAcentral lists this unclassified non-coding RNA (309 nucleotides) under plant metagenome. Its description in RNAcentral is "partial contains 5.8S ribosomal RNA, internal transcribed spacer 2, and large subunit ribosomal RNA". The stretch from base 1 to 105 matches the Rfam family "5.8S ribosomal RNA", at positions 50 to 154 of the family's 154-position model. The record is from RNAcentral.